Molecule: unclassified non-coding RNA, 345 nt
Filed under: soil metagenome
Description: partial contains 5.8S ribosomal RNA, internal transcribed spacer 2, and large subunit ribosomal RNA
Rfam family: 5.8S ribosomal RNA (bases 1-120)
Source: RNAcentral
GAUGAAGAACGCAGCGAAAUGCGAUAAGUAAUGUGAAUUGCAGAAUUCAGUGAAUCAUCGAAUCUUUGAACGCAUCUUGCGCUCCUUGGUAUUCUGAGGAGCAUGCCUGUUUGAGUGUCAUUGCUGCCCUCAAGCACGGCUUGUGUGUUGGGCCUCCGUCCUCCUCCCGGGGGACGGGCCCGAAAGGCAGCGGCGGCACCGCGUCCGGUCCUCGAGCGUAUGGGGCUUCGUCACCCGCUCUUGUAGGCCCGGCCGGCGCUUGCCGACACAUCAAUCUUUUUUCCAGGUUGACCUCGGAUCAGGUAGGGAUACCCGCUGAACUUAAGCAUAUCAAUAAGCGGAGGA